CCACCCCCAAAACACACCCUCCUCACCUUCAGCCCAACGCCCCGUUCCCACUCCUUAUCCUUAUCCUUCUUCUUCAGCCCCAUGUAUCCCGAGGGCCUCAACUCCCUCGGCCCCUGAAACCCACCAUAACAACUCUGUUCCCACACACCCUCCUCAAAUCCACCAUCUCCUAAAGCCCCUGCACUUAGAGGUCUCAGUCUCCUACCUGGCUCUCUUCCCUCAAGUUCCCAAAUAAAUAUAUCCUGACACAUC
Molecule: long non-coding RNA, 252 nt
Filed under: Pongo abelii (Sumatran orangutan)
Lineage: Eukaryota; Metazoa; Chordata; Mammalia; Primates; Hominidae
Description: lincRNA
Source: RNAcentral